UACGUAGGCAGCAAGCGUUGUUCGGAGUUACUGGGCGUAAAGGGUGCGUAGGCGGUCCUAUAAGUAUGGUGUGAAAUCUCCCGGCUUAACUGGGAGGGUGCGCUAUAGACUGUGGGACUAGAGUGUGGGAGAGGAAAGUGGAAUUCCUGGUGUAGCGGUGAAAUGCGUAGAUAUCAGGAGGAACACCGGUGGUGUAAACGGCUUUCUGGACCAUAACUGACGCUGAGGCACGAAAAGCGUGGGUAGCAAACAGG
This 254-nucleotide ribosomal RNA is filed under the name uncultured bacterium. RNAcentral describes it as "partial 16S ribosomal RNA". It matches the Rfam family "Bacterial small subunit ribosomal RNA", at positions 524 to 776 of the family's 1533-position model. The record is from RNAcentral.